Molecule: long non-coding RNA, 380 nt
Filed under: Trifolium pratense (red clover)
Lineage: Eukaryota; Viridiplantae; Streptophyta; Magnoliopsida; Fabales; Fabaceae
Description: long non-coding RNA (TPRA_LNC011238)
Source: RNAcentral
UCUCUAUACAAUUUGUAUCUUUUGUGGUCUCUCACAAGAGUUAUCGCGUCAUCUUUUUUGUAACUUACAAUUUCUCACUUCAAAUGGUUUAGAUGGGAGCUACCUAUAUGCCACAUAAAUUGUUAUAUUUUUUGCUCUUUUGGUAGUGAUUUCCAACUUAGAAAUCGUUUGACUUUGAUUUGACAUCAUGUGGUGUGGUUGAUCUAUGAGCCGUGGAAUGAAUUCAUAUUCUCAAAUAAAUGGGUGGAUGUUGAAACAAUUGGUGGAUAAUAUUAAGUUCUCUUAUUAGAAAUGAUUUUUUAUGUAAAUUUUUUGAAUCUAUUUUUACUUUCUAUGAAUGGCAGUGGAAAUUUUCUCUUUGAUUAGAUAGUCUUUUGGUG